AAUCAUUGGACUUAGAGGAUUUCACUUAGGGCCCUUGCUUGGAGACCUUGCCCUAAACUUUUGACACUUUGCCCUAACUUGGAUUUCAUUUGUAACUUGCAAUCUUUCAUUGUAUGAAUGACUUCAUGGUACUACCUUAGGGAGACAUGACUAUAAGACCAUUAUCCACUUGUUAGCUUAGGUCACUUUUGCACACACAAGGCUUUCUCUUGGGCUACCUUACAAUGAGACCAUUUAUUUCUUA
This 244-nucleotide long non-coding RNA is filed under the name Lathyrus oleraceus (garden pea). RNAcentral's name for it is "Pisum sativum (pea) long non-coding RNA (PSAT_LNC032580)". Lineage: Eukaryota; Viridiplantae; Streptophyta; Magnoliopsida; Fabales; Fabaceae. The record is from RNAcentral.